AUGCAAGUCGAACGAAGUAGAAAUACUUAGUGGCAGACGGGUGAGUAACAUGUGGGUAUCUGCCCUUUGGCCUGGAAUAACACGAGGAAACUUGUGCUAAUACCGGAUAAGUCUUUACGGAGAAAGCUUUAUGCACCAUUGGAUGAGCCCGCACUUGAUUAGUUUGUUGGUGGGGUAAUGGCCCACCAAGACUGUGAUCAAUAGCUGAUUUGAGAGGAUGAUCAGCCACAUUGGGACUGAGACACGGCCCAAACUCCUACGGGAGGCAGCAGUGGGGAAUCUUGCACAAUGGAGGAAACUCUGAUGCAGCGAUGCCGCGUGAGUGAAGAAGGCCCUUGGGUUGUAAAGCUCUUUCGUCGGGGAAGAAAAUGACUGCACCCGAAUAAGAAGGUCCGGCUAACUUCGUGCCAGCAGCCGCGGUAAUACGAAGGGACCUAGCGUAGUUCGGAAUUACUGGGCUUAAAGAGUUCGUAGGUGGUUGAAAAAGUUGGUGGUGAAAUCCCAGAGCUUAACUCUGGAACUGCCAUCAAAACUUUUCAGCUAGAGUUUGAUAGAGGAAAGCAGAAUUUCUAGUGUAGAGGUGAAAUUCGUAGAUAUUAGAAAGAAUACCGAUUGCGAAGGCAGCUUUCUGGAUCAUUACUGACACUGAGGAACGAAAGCAUGGGUAGCGAAGAGGAUUAGAUACCCUCGUAGUCCAUGCCGUAAACGAUGUGUGUUAGACGUUGGAAAUUUAUUUUCAGUGUCGCAGCGAAAGCGAUAAACACACCGCCUGGGGAGUACGACCGCAAGGUUAAAACUCAAAUGAAUUGACGGGGACCCGCACAAGUAGUGGAGCAUGUGGUUUAAUUCGAAGAUACGCGCAGAACCUUACCAACACUUGACAUGUUCGUCGCGACUUUAAGAGGUUAAAGUUUUCGGUUCGGCCGGACGAAACACAGUGCUGCAUGGCUGUCGUCAGCUCGUG
Molecule: ribosomal RNA, 964 nt
Filed under: uncultured marine bacterium
Lineage: Bacteria
Description: bacterial SSU rRNA
Rfam family: Bacterial small subunit ribosomal RNA
Source: RNAcentral